GGCGUGUCGUCAGCUCGUGUCGUGAGAUGUUGGGUUAAGUCCCGUAACGAGCGCAACCCUUGUCCUUAGUUACCAGCACGUUAUGGUGGGCACUCUAAGGAGACUGCCGGUGACAAACCGGAGGAAGGUGGGGAUGACGUCAAGUCAUCAUGGCCCUUACGGCCUGGGCUACACACGUGCUACAAUGGUCGGUACAAAGGGUUGCCAAGCCGCGAGGUGGAGCUAAUCCCAUAAAACCGAUCGUAGUCCGGAUCGCAGUCUGCAACUCGACUGCGUGAAGUCGGAAUCGCUAGUAAUCGCGCAUCAGCCAUGGCGCGGUGAAUACGUUCCCGGGCCUU
This 338-nucleotide ribosomal RNA is filed under the name uncultured Pseudomonas sp. RNAcentral's name for it is "bacterial SSU rRNA". It matches the Rfam family "Bacterial small subunit ribosomal RNA", at positions 1047 to 1382 of the family's 1533-position model. The record is from RNAcentral. Lineage: Bacteria; Pseudomonadati; Pseudomonadota; Gammaproteobacteria; Pseudomonadales; Pseudomonadaceae.